This 101-nucleotide ribosomal RNA is filed under the name uncultured bacterium. RNAcentral's name for it is "partial 16S ribosomal RNA". The record is from RNAcentral.
UACACACCGCCCGUCACACCAUGGGAGUUGGAUUGACCCGAAGGCAGUGAGCUAACCCGCAAGGGAGGCAGGCGACCACGGUGGGUUUAGCGACUGGGGUG